GCCCUGGAGGCUGCUAUUAAUUACAAGAAUGAAAGUAUUCAGAGUCGCCAGUACUUGCUUAGAUCCUCUUCACAGAUCCUUUCACAGAGUGAGGAUAAUGCAAUAGGAAAACUAGUUUCCUUGUCUGCUGAUGAGCUCAGAGCUAUCCUCUUCAAAUACUUUAACAAGAACAAGAUGGUGAAGGUAUUGCAGAAACCUUGAAAGAGUAUGAAGUAAAAGUCCAGCAACUGGAAAAAGACUUCUUUUAUUCUAGAGAAAACCAGCAGAGAGCUGAAGAAGAAAUUGAAGGGCUUUUUUGGAGAGUCACCCCAUCAACUAAUGGCACCUACUAAAUAAACCGGGUGUUUAAGAAGGAAAUGCAGAGUUGCCUUUGUUUGGCACUCGAUGGUCUUGAGGUCUCUUCCAACGUAGACAUUCUGUGAUUCUGUGAAGUCACAAACGCCAAGGCAUCACACUGGCUGGCUCUGCAGCACAGAUGCCAGGAGUGCCGCUUGGCAUGGCGGCGGCGGCGCGGUGCCCCAGCCCCAGGCCCGUCCCAGCCCCAGCGCACAUUGCCCUCCGCUCCCCCAUGGAGCCCCCCGCCGCCUCAGCAGCCCUGCGGCGGACGCCCCAUGGCAGAGCCGCCCCCGAGGAGAAGGAGCCCGCAGCCCUCUGCCCACACCGCACCGCACUGCACCAAGCGCCGCGCAACGGCUGCCACCACCGCGGGGGCUCCUGGUGUGAGUGGCAAGCGGUGGCAAGGGGGGGCUGCGCUUCCUGAGUCGAGCUGCUGGACACCGGCUUGCCUGGGCAAUUGCCCAUGUUGCUGAGGAGGCAACAGAGCCAAAGCCCUUGGGGCUGAAGAUCCAGCACAGCUGGGGAGGCUUUGGCAUUUCUGCACAAUGCUGCUCAAUCCUGCUUGGGAGCCCAGCCUCAGGUGCGGAAUGAAGCCAAGCAAGCUCGAGGGAAACUGUGUGCUGAAUCCCAGACUGCGUAUUAGAGCUGAUCUUCAUCUCUGCUCGGAAAAGCUUCACGGGCCAAAAGAGAAUGGAGAUGAGGAAGGCAAUGGAGAAUGAUGAGGACUAUUUGCAGUCAGCACCCCAACUUCUGCCUUGGCUCUUCCCAUCAAGCCAGAGCAGUUUCUUGGCCUGCGCAACCUGCAGACUGACCUCUCGUGUGUAUCCGUGCUGGACUGAGGGUAUCAAGAGAAGAAGGCAUUUGCUUCAGAGGACAGUACUUUGAUGCUUUCCAGGGCUAAUGGCCAAAGUUCUCAAAGCACUUUUUUUUUCUUUUUUUUUUUUUCCCCAUCAGUGAUUUAUACAUUUGUCAAUCUUUCCAUCUUCAUUUACAACUCCGAAUUUAGGUUUUAGGUGAACAAGAACCCUGAAACCAGCUGAAGCCAUAUCAGACAUGAAGCCAUAUCAGACAUAGUAAGGACAUGUGUCUGUGAGGAAGUAAUUCAGAGUGAUUCUCUGGUGUCCUUUGGACAGCUUUCCUCUGGUCCUCUGCACUAAGCAUCCCCAAGGGAUAUUUCAAAGCUCUCGGAAUGAUCUGUCAUUCUCUCUUCCACUAGAGUCUCCAUUAGAAAAGCGUGACUAUUCCUUGCCCAUGUGGAAAAGAAGUCCUCCUUGCGUUGUUUCUAAGCAAAACCUCUUUCUUGUGUUCUAUGGACAGAAACCACUUGGCUAGACAAACUCAAUCAUUGCAAAUGGAAGGAGUGGAACUACUUCAGCACCGUGCUUCGGCUUCUAAGCAGAACUGUAAUGUAGGUGGGGACGUAGCAAGAGGACAUGGCCAAGCCAGGGUGGACUUGAAAGUGCCGUGUCCGAGCCACAGCAAGAAGUCCGUGAUUGCCCCUUGGAGACUGCUGCUCACCUAGUAGCACAGCAGCUGGAACGCUUCUGGAUACUGCUGAUGGAUUGCCACGAAUCAGGCAGUGACACAAGCUACGAGAACGACGGAAGUGACUGGAAGUGAUGCUUCUCCCUGUUCUCCAUUGCAAUUUGUGAAAGAAAGGAGAAGAGAGGAGAAGAAGAAAGGAGAAGACGGGAGGGAAGGGGAGGGAAUGAAGAGAACGGGA
Molecule: non-coding RNA, 2059 nt
Organism: Anas platyrhynchos (mallard)
Lineage: Eukaryota; Metazoa; Chordata; Aves; Anseriformes; Anatidae
Source: RefSeq, a predicted model, not a curated record